AAUGAACGUUGGCGGCGUGGAUUAGGCAUGCGAGUCGUACGAGAACCCGCAAGGGGGAAGUGGCGAACGGGGUAGUAAUGCGUAGGUGACGUGCCCCUGCGGUCGGGGAUAGCUUAGGGAAACUUAAGGUAAUACCCGAUAAUCCCAUGAGGUUUGAAUACCAUAUGGGCAAAGGUGUGAUUCCACCACAGGAGCGGCUUGCGUGGUAUUAGCUAGUUGGUGAGGUAACGGCUCACCAAGGCUUCGAUGCCUAGGGGAUGUUAGCGCAUGAUCCCCACCACUGGGACUGAGAUACUGCCCAGACACCUACGGGUGGCUGCAGUCGAGAAUCUUCGGCAAUGGGGGAAACCCUGACCGAGCGACGCCGCGUGUGGGAUGAAGGCCCUUGGGUUGUAAACCACUGUCAGAGGGGAUGAAAUGCCAGAGAGCUAUCUCUCUGGUUUGACAUAGCCUCAGAGGAAGCACGGGCUAAGUUCGUGCCAGCAGCCGCGGUAAAGUCUGU
Molecule: ribosomal RNA, 502 nt
Filed under: uncultured bacterium
Lineage: Bacteria
Description: bacterial SSU rRNA
Rfam family: Bacterial small subunit ribosomal RNA
Source: RNAcentral